This 163-nucleotide ribosomal RNA is filed under the name uncultured bacterium. Its description in RNAcentral is "partial 16S ribosomal RNA". It matches the Rfam family "Bacterial small subunit ribosomal RNA", at positions 1338 to 1500 of the family's 1533-position model. The record is from RNAcentral.
GUAAUCGCAGAUCAGAAUGCUGCGGUGAAUACGUUCCCGGGCCUUGUACACACCGCCCGUCACACCAUGGGAGCCGGUAAUACCCGAAGUCAGUAGUCUAACCGCAAGGGGGACGCUGCCGAAGGUAGGAUUGGCGACUGGGGUGAAGUCGUAACAAGGUACC